RNAcentral lists this ribosomal RNA (406 nucleotides) under uncultured bacterium. RNAcentral's name for it is "bacterial SSU rRNA". It matches the Rfam family "Bacterial small subunit ribosomal RNA", at positions 355 to 776 of the family's 1533-position model. The record is from RNAcentral.
UGGGGGAUAUUGCACAAUGGGGGGAACCCUGAUGCAGCGACGCCGCGUGGGCGAGGAAGUAUUUCGGUAUGUAAAGCCCUAUCGGCAGGGAAGAAAGAAUGACGGUACCUGACUAAGAAGCACCGGCUAAAUACGUGCCAGCAGCCGCGGUAAUACGUAUGGUGCAAGCGUUAUCCGGAUUUACUGGGUGUAAAGGGGGCGCAGGCGGCGCGCCAAGCCUGGUGUGAAAGCCCGCGGCUCAACCGCGGGACUGCAUUGGGAACUGGCGUGCUGGAGUGCCGGAGGGGCAGGCGGAAUUCCUGGUGUAGCGGUGAAAUGCGUAGAUAUCAGGAGGAACACCAGUGGCGAAGGCGGCCUGCUGGACGGCAACUGACGCUGAGGCCCGAAAGCGUGGGGAGCAAACAGG